AAGAAAAGAAAUAUAACUUUGGGUUCCUUUUCACUCAUGAGGAUGUGGUGUGCUACAGCUGCAAACAGUAGCCCUCUCCGUAGUAUCAGCAACCCAUUGUUUAUAUGGAUACCCUAAGGGACCUUGGAGGUAGCC
Sciurus vulgaris (Eurasian red squirrel) is the source of this 135-nucleotide small nucleolar RNA. Its record names the gene SNORA70. It matches the Rfam family "Small nucleolar RNA SNORA70". Rfam says of the family: snoRNA U70 seems to be exclusive to mammals and is a member of the H/ACA class of snoRNA which contain H (ANANNA) and ACA box motifs. H/ACA box snoRNAs are involved in the conversion of uridines to pseudouridines (5-ribosyluracil) a constituent of structural RNAs (transfer, ribosomal, small nuclear, and small nucleolar). The record is from Ensembl. NCBI's taxonomy places the organism in Eukaryota, Metazoa, Chordata, Mammalia, Rodentia, Sciuridae.